AGUGGGAUAGUUGGGUCAAAUGGUGGUUCCAUUCAAACUUUCCAAGGAAUCUCCUACUUUCUAGAUUGACUGCACCAUUUGCAGUCCCACCAGCAAU
RNAcentral lists this microRNA precursor (97 nucleotides) under Marmota monax (woodchuck). The record is from RNAcentral. Lineage: Eukaryota; Metazoa; Chordata; Mammalia; Rodentia; Sciuridae.